Molecule: ribosomal RNA, 479 nt
Filed under: uncultured bacterium
Lineage: Bacteria
Description: bacterial SSU rRNA
Rfam family: Bacterial small subunit ribosomal RNA
Source: RNAcentral
ACUCCUACGGGAGGCAGCAGUAGGGAAUCUUCCACAAUGGGCGCAGGCCUGAUGGAGCAACACCGCGUGAGUGAAGAAGGGUUUCGGCUCGUAAAGCUCUGUUGUUGAAGAAGAACAACGUAUGAGAGUAACUGUUCAUACGUUGACGGUAUUUAACCAGAAAGUCACGGCUAACUACGUGCCAGCAGCCGCGGUAAUACGUAGGUGGCAAGCGUUAUCCGGAUUUAUUGGGCGUAAAGAGAGUGCAGGCGGUUUUCUAAGUCUGAUGUGAAAGCCUUCGGCUUAACCGGAGAAGUGCAUCGGAAACUGGAUAACUUGAGUGCAGAAGAGGGUAGUGGAACUCCAUGUGUAGCGGUGGAAUGCGUAGAUAUAUGGAAGAACACCAGUGGCGAAGGCGGCUACCUGGUCUGCAACUGACGACGUGAAGGACCUCAAAGGCAUGGGUAGCGAACAGGAUUAGAUACCCUGGUAGGAUAGCG